Molecule: long non-coding RNA, 317 nt
Organism: Pseudoliparis swirei
Lineage: Eukaryota; Metazoa; Chordata; Actinopteri; Perciformes; Liparidae
Exons: 3
Source: RefSeq, a predicted model, not a curated record
GGAGACCAUGGCCAGGUCACCCAUGUUUGAGGGGAAAGAAAACAGCAAGAACUUGGCUCUUGACAGUGCUGCUCUAAGAGAGGACCGGUACUACACAGCUGGCAGAGCCAUUGCUGUAAGCUUGGUACAUGGUGGUCCGCCACCAAACUUCCUCUCGCCAACAAUAUUUUCUCUUCUGGUUGAUGGUUCAGCAAAGCCAGUGCUAGACGACAUAGCUGACAAUGAACUUUUGGAAAAAGUAAAAAAGAUUCUGUGAAGGACUGAAAACGCUUGGGGUUCUGGAGAAAAUCCAAAGGCAUCCAGACAGCUUUCGUCCC